AUGCAUUUGGAGUGUUUUAACCCAUCCUGUAAUGUUCAAAGCAAACUUAGCUCUUUUCCCAUGUAUCCAUAUAAUAGGUUUCACGUUUCAAAUAAAAGUAGUUCUACGUUAUUUUCACUUUUUUUUUGUUUUCAUAACUUUAACCCAUCUUUUUCUUUAUAAACUUUCAUUUUCUUUAUUUUUUUUGUUCAUAAUCAUUAUUUUAAAACAACGUAUUAUGAUAUGAAUAUAUUAUAUUUUAGAAUUAUAAAAAUUCAAAUAUCAAGACCUUACAAUUUAAGUCAAUAAAAUUUAUCACAAAAAUACACAUAUUCUCUUGUUUUAAUGUUUAAAACAUAUAUUUAAUUUUUCAAAAUGGUCUAAAAUAAGUACUUCAAUCUACCAAUGAUGAUUUGGUGCACUAAACCUAAUCACCUUGAGAAGGCUACUACGUUAAACAAAUACAUUAGGUAGCUAAGUAAUAUGGAAAUGAAUAUGUCAUUUUGAAUCAAUGACAUGCAUUUGAAGUGUUUUAACCCAUCCUGUAAUGUUCAAAGCAAACUUAGCUCUUUUCCGACGUAUCCGUCUAAUAGGUUUCACGUUUAUAAUAAAAGUAGUUCUACGUUAUUUCACAUUUUUUUUGUUUUCAUAACUUUAACCCAUCUAUGUCUUUAUAAACUUUCAUUUUCUUUAUUUUUUUGUUCAUGAUCAUUAUUUUAAAACAACAUAUUAUGAUAUGAAUAUAUUAUAUUUUAGAAUUUUAGAUUUAUAAAAAUUCAAAUAUCAAUACAUUACAAUUUAAGUCAAUAAAAUUAAUCAUAAAAAUACACAUAUUCUCUUGUUUUAGUGUUUAAAACAUAAGUUCAUUUUUAAAAAUGGUCUAAAAUAAGUAAUUCAAUCUACCAAUGAUGAUUUGGUGUAAUAAACCUAGUCACCUUGAGAAGGCUACUAUGUUAAACAAAUACAUUAGGUAGCUAAGUAAUAUGGAAAUGAAUAUGUCAUUUUGAAUCAAUGACAUGCAUUUGGAGUGUUUUAACCCAUCCUGUAAUGUUCAAAGCAAACUUAGCUCUUUUCCCAUGUAUCCAUCUAAUAGGUUUCACGUUUCAAAUAAAAGUAGUUCUACGUUAUUUUCACAUUUUUUUUUUUUUCAUAACUUUAACCCAUCUUUGUCUUUAUAAACUUUCAUUUUCUUUAUUUUUUAGUUCAUGAUCAUUAUUUUAAAACAACAUAUUAUGAUAUGAAUAUAUUAUAUUUUAGAAUUUUAGAUUUAUAAAAAUUCAAAUAUCAAUACAUUACAAUUUAAGUCAAUAAAAUUAAUCAUAAAAAUACACAUAUUCUCUUGUUUUAGUGUUUAAAACAUAAGUUCAUUUUUAAAAAUGGUCUAAAAUAAGUAAUUCAAUCUACCAAUGAUGAUUUGGUGUAAUAAACCUAGUCACCUUGAGAAGGCUACUAUGUUAAACAAAUACAUUAGGUAGCUAAGUAAUAUGGAAAUGAAUAUGUCAUUUUGAAUCAAUGACAUGCAUUUGGAGUGUUUUAACCCAUCCUGUAAUGUUCAAAGCAAACUUAGCUCUUUUCCCAUGUAUCCAUCUAAUAGGUUUCACGUUUCAAAUAAAAGUAGUUCUACGUUAUUUUCACAUUUUUUUUUUUUUUCCAUAACUUUAACCCAUCUAUAUCUUUAUAAACUUUCAUUUUCUUUAUUUUUUUGUUCAUGAUCAUUAUUUUAAAACAACAUAUUAUGAUAUGAAUAUAUUAUAUUUUAGAAUUUUAGAUUUAUAAAAAUUCAAAUAUCAAUACAUUACAAUUUAAGUCAAUAAAAUUAAUCAUAAAAAUACACAUAUUCUCUUGUUUUAGUGUUUAAAACAUAAGUUCAUUUUUAAAAAUGGUCUAAAAUAAGUAAUUCAAUCUACCAAUGAUGAUUUGGUGUAAUAAACCUAGUCACCUUGAGAAGGCUACUAUGUUAAACAAAUACAUUAGGUAGCUAAGUAAUAUGGAAAUGAAUAUGUCAUUUUGAAUCAAUGACAUGCAUUUGGAGUGUUUUAACCCAUCCUGUAAUGUUCAAAGCAAACUUAGCUCUUUUCCCAUGUAUCCAUCUAAUAGGUUUCACGUUUCAAAUAAAAGUAGUUCUACGUUAUUUUCACAUUUUUUUUUUUUUUCAUAACUUUAACCCAUCUUUGUCUUUAUAAACUUUCAUUUUCUUUAUUUUUUUGUUCAUGAUCAUUAUUUUAAAACAACAUAUUAUGAUAUGAAUAUAUUAUAUUUUAGAAUUUUAGAUUUAUAAAAAUUCAAAUAUCAAUACAUUACAAUUUAAGUCAAUAAAAUUAAUCAUAAAAAUACACAUAUUCUCUUGUUUUAGUGUUUAAAACAUAAGUUCAUUUUUAAAAAUGGUCUAAAAUAAGUAAUUCAAUCUACCAAUGAUGAUUUGGUGUAAUAAACCUAGUCACCUUGAGAAGGCUACUAUGUUAAACAAAUACAUUAGGUAGCUAAGUAAUAUGGAAAUGAAUAUGUCAUUUUGAAUCAAUGACAUGCAUUUGGAGUGUUUUAACCCAUCCUGUAAUGUUCAAAGCAAACUUAGCUCUUUUCCCAUGUAUCCAUCUAAUAGGUUUCACGUUUCAAAUAAAAGUAGUUCUACGUUAUUUUCACAUUUUUUUUUUUUUUCAUAACUUUAACCCAUCUUUGUCUUUAUAAACUUUCAUUUUCUUUAUUUUUUUGUUCAUGAUCAUUAUUUUAAAACAACAUAUUAUGAUAUGAAUAUAUUAUAUUUUAGAAUUUUAGAUUUAUAAAAACUCAAAUAUCAAUACAUUACAAUAUAAGUCAAUAAAAUUAAUCAUAAAAAUACACAUAUUCUCUUGUUUUAGUGUUUAAAAAAUAUAUUUAAUUUUUCUAAAUGGUCUAAAAUAAGUAAUUCAAUCUACCAAUGAUGAUUUGGUGUAAUAAACCUAGUCACCUUGAGUAGGCUACUAUGUUAAACAAAUACAUUAGGUAGCUAAGUAAUAUGGAAAUGAAUAUGUCAUUUUGAAUCAAUGACAUGCAUUUGGAGUGUUUUAACCCAUCCUGUAACGUUCAAAGCAAACUUAACUCUUUUCCCAUGUAUCCAUCUAAUAGGUUUCACGUUUCAAAUAAAAGUAGUUCUAUGUUAUUUUCACAUUUUUUUUUGUUUUCAUAACUUUAACCCAUCUUUGUCUUUAUAAACUUUCAUUUUCUUAAUUUUUUAGUUCAUGAUCAUUAUUUUAAUACAACAUAUUAUGAUAUGAAUAUAUUAUAUUUUAGAAUGUUAGAUUUAUAAAAACUCAAAUAUCAAUACAUUACAAUUUAAGUCAAUAAAAUUAAUCAUAAAAAUACACAUAUUCUCUUGUUUUAGUGUUUAAAACAUAAGUUCAUUUUUAAAAAUGGUCUAAAAUAAGUAAUUCAAUCUACCAAUGAUGAUUUGGUGUAAUAAACCUAGUCACCUUGAGAAGGCUACUAUGUUAAACAAAUACAUUAGGUAGCUAAGUAAUAUGGAAAUGAAUAUGUCAUUUUGAAUCAAUGACAUGCAUUUGGAGUGUUUUAACCCAUCCUGUAAUGUUCAAAGCAAACUUAGCUCUUUUCCCAUGUAUCCAUCUAAUAAGUUUCACGUAUCAAAUAAAAGUAGUUCUAUGUUAUUUUCACAUUUUUUUUUUGUUUUCAUAACUUUAACCCAUCUUUGUCUUUAUAAGCAUUCAUUUUCUUUAUUUUUUUGUUCAUGAUCAUUAUUUUAAAACAACAUAUUAUGAUAUGAAUAUAUUAUAUAUUAGAAUUUUAGAUUUAUAAAAAUUCAAAUAUCAAUACAUUACAAUUUAAGUCAAUAAAAUUAAUCAUAAAAAUACACAAAUUCUCUUGUUUUAGUGUUCAAAACAUAUAUUUAUUUUUUCAAAAUGGUCUAAAAUAAGUAAUUCAAUCUACCAAUGAUGAUUUGGUGUAAUAAACCUAGUCACCUUGAGAAGGCUACUAUGUUAAACAAAUACAUUAGGUAGCUAAGUAAUAUGGAAAUGAAUAUGUCAUUUUGAAUCAAUGACAUGCAUUUGGAGUGUUUUAACCCAUCCUGUAAUGUUCAAAGCAAACUUAGCUCUUUUCCCAUGUAUCCAUCUAAUAGGUUUCACGUUUCAAAUAAAAGUAGUUCUACGUUAUUUUCACAUUUUUUUUUGUUUUCAUAACUUUAACCCAUCUUUGUCUUUAUAAACUUUCAUUUUCUUUAUUUUUUUGUUCAUGAUCAUUAUUUUAAAACAACAUAUUAUGAUAUGAAUAUAUUAUAUUUUAGAAUUUUAGAUUUAUAAAAAUUCAAAUAUCAAUACAUUACAAUUUAAGUCAAUAAAAUUAAUCAUAAAAAUACACAUAUUCUCUUGUUUUAGUGUUUAAAACAUAAGUUCAUUUUUAAAAAUGGUCUAAAAUAAGUAAUUCAAUCUACCAAUGAUGAUUUGGUGUAAUAAACCUAGUCACCUUGAGAAGGCUACUAUGUUAAACAAAUACAUUAGGUAGCUAAGUAAUAUGGAAAUGAAUAUGUCAUUUUGAAUCAAUGACAUGCAUUUGGAGUGUUUUAACCCAUCCUGUAAUGUUCAAAGCAAACUUAGCUCUUUUCCCAUGUAUCCAUCUAAUAGGUUUCACGUUUCAAAUAAAAGUAGUUCUACGUUAUUUUCACAUUUUUUUUUGUUUUCAUAACUUUAACCCAUCUUUGUCUUUAUAAACUUUCAUUUUCUUUAUUUUUUUGUUCAUGAUCAUUAUUUUAAAACAACAUAUUAUGAUAUGAAUAUAUUAUAUUUUAGAAUUUUAGAUUUAUAAAAAUUCAAAUAUCAAUACAUUACAAUUUAAGUCAAUAAAAUUAAUCAUAAAAAUACACAUAUUCUCUUGUUUUAGUGUUUAAAACAUAAGUUCAUUUUUAAAAAUGGUCUAAAAUAAGUAAUUCAAUCUACCAAUGAUGAUUUGGUGUAAUAAACCUAGUCACCUUGAGAAGGCUACUAUGUUAAACAAAUACAUUAGGUAGCUAAGUAAUAUGGAAAUGAAUAUGUCAUUUUGAAUCAAUGACAUGCAUUUGGAGUGUUUUAACCCAUCCUGUAAUGUUCAAAGCAAACUUAGCUCUUUUCCCAUGUAUCCAUCUAAUAGGUUUCACGUUUCAAAUAAAAGUAGUUCUACGUUAUUUUCACAUUUUUUUUUGUUUUCAUAACUUUAACCCAUCUUUGUCUUUAUAAACUUUCAUUUUCUUUAUUUUUUUGUUCAUGAUCAUUAUUUUAAAACAACAUAUUAUGAUAUGAAUAUAUUAUAUUUUAGAAUUUUAGAUUUAUAAAAACUCAAAUAUCAAUACAUUACAAUUUAAGUCAAUAAAAUUAAUCAUAAAAAUACACAUAUUCUCUUGUUUUAGUGUUUAAAACAUAAGUUCAUUUUUAAAAAUGGUCUAAAAUAAGUAAUUCAAUCUACCAAUGAUGAUUUGGUGUAAUAAACCUAGUCACCUUGAGAAGGCUACUAUGUUAAACAAAUACAUUAGGUAGCUAAGUAAUAUGGAAAUGAGAUAUUUUUUUCUUUAUUUUUUUGUUCAUGAUCAUUAUUUUAAAACAACAUAUUAUGAUAUGAAUAUAUUAUAUUUUAGAAUUUUAGAUUUAUAAAAACUCAAAUAUCAAUACAUUACAAUUUAAGUCAAUAAAAUUAAUCAUAAAAAUACACAUAUUCUCUUGUUUUAGUGUUUAAAACAUAUAUUUAAUUUUUCAAAAUGGUCAAAAAUAAGUAAUUCACUUUACCAAUGAUGAUUUGGUGUAAUAAACCUAGUCACCCUUAGAAGGCUACUAUGUUAAACAAAUAAAUUAAGUAGCUAAGUAAAAUGGAUAUGACUAUGUCAUUUUAAAUCAAUGACAUGCAUUUGGAGUGUUUCAACCCAUCCUGUAUUGUUCAAAGCAAAUUUAGAUCUUCACCCAUGUAUCCAUCUAAUAGAUUUCACGUUUCAAAUAAAAGUAGUUCUAUGUUAUUUUCACAGUUUUUUUUUUGUUUUCAUAAAUUUAACCCAUCUCUGUCUUUAUAAACUUUCAUUUUCUUUAUUUUUUUGUUCAUGAUCAUUAUUUCAAAAACAACAUAUUAUGAUAUGAAUAUAUUAUAUUUUAGAAUUUUAGAAUUAUAAAAAUUCAAAUAUCAAUACCUUACAAUUUAAGUUAAUAAAACUAAUCAUAAAAAUACACAUAUUCUCUUGUUUUAAUGUUUAAAACAUAUUUUUAAUUUUUCAAAAUGGUCUAAAAUAAGUAAUUCAAUCUACCAAUGAUGAUUUGGUGCAAUAAACCUAAUCACCUUGAGAAGGCUACUAUGUUAAACAAAUACAUUAGGUAGCUAAGUAAUAUGUAAAUGAAUAUGUCAUUUUGAAUCAAUGACAUGCAUUUGGAGUGUUUUAACCCAUCCUGUAAUGUUCAAAGCAAACUUAGCUCUUUUCCCAUGUAUCCAUCUAAUAGGUUUCACGUUUAUAAUAAAAGUAGUUCUAC
RNAcentral lists this long non-coding RNA (6446 nucleotides) under Lathyrus oleraceus (garden pea). RNAcentral describes it as "Pisum sativum (pea) long non-coding RNA (PSAT_LNC040220)". Lineage: Eukaryota; Viridiplantae; Streptophyta; Magnoliopsida; Fabales; Fabaceae. The record is from RNAcentral.